This 2932-nucleotide ribosomal RNA is filed under the name Escherichia coli. RNAcentral describes it as "bacterial LSU rRNA". It matches the Rfam family "Bacterial large subunit ribosomal RNA". Lineage: Bacteria; Pseudomonadati; Pseudomonadota; Gammaproteobacteria; Enterobacterales; Enterobacteriaceae. The record is from RNAcentral.
GGGUUGUGAGGUUAAGCGACUAAGCGUACACGGUGGAUGCCCUGGCAGUCAGAGGCGAUGAAGGACGUGCUAAUCUGCGAUAAGCGUCGGUAAGGUGAUAUGAACCGUUAUAACCGGCGAUUUCCGAAUGGGGAAACCCAGUGUGUUUCGACACACUAUCAUUAACUGAAUCCAUAGGUUAAUGAGGCGAACCGGGGGAACUGAAACAUCUAAGUACCCCGAGGAAAAGAAAUCAACCGAGAUUCCCCCAGUAGCGGCGAGCGAACGGGGAGCAGCCCAGAGCCUGAAUCAGUGUGUGUGUUAGUGGAAGCGUCUGGAAAGGCGCGCGAUACAGGGUGACAGCCCCGUACACAAAAAUGCACAUGCUGUGAGCUCGAUGAGUAGGGCGGGACACGUGGUAUCCUGUCUGAAUAUGGGGGGACCAUCCUCCAAGGCUAAAUACUCCUGACUGACCGAUAGUGAACCAGUACCGUGAGGGAAAGGCGAAAAGAACCCCGGCGAGGGGAGUGAAAAAGAACCUGAAACCGUGUACGUACAAGCAGUGGGAGCACGCUUAGGCGUGUGACUGCGUACCUUUUGUAUAAUGGGUCAGCGACUUAUAUUCUGUAGCAAGGUUAACCGAAUAGGGGAGCCGAAGGGAAACCGAGUCUUAACUGGGCGUUAAGUUGCAGGGUAUAGACCCGAAACCGGUGAUCUAGCCAUGGGCAGGUUGAAGGUUGGGUAACACUAACUGGAGGACCGAACCGACUAAUGUUGAAAAAUUAGCGGAUGACUUGUGGCUGGGGGUGAAAGGCCAAUCAAACCGGGAGAUAGCUGGUUCUCCCCGAAAGCUAUUUAGGUAGCGCCUCGUGAAUUCAUCUCCGGGGGUAGAGCACUGUUUCGGCAAGGGGGUCAUCCCGACUUACCAACCCGAUGCAAACUGCGAAUACCGGAGAAUGUUAUCACGGGAGACACACGGCGGGUGCUAACGUCCGUCGUGAAGAGGGAAACAACCCAGACCGCCAGCUAAGGUCCCAAAGUCAUGGUUAAGUGGGAAACGAUGUGGGAAGGCCCAGACAGCCAGGAUGUUGGCUUAGAAGCAGCCAUCAUUUAAAGAAAGCGUAAUAGCUCACUGGUCGAGUCGGCCUGCGCGGAAGAUGUAACGGGGCUAAACCAUGCACCGAAGCUGCGGCAGCGACGCUGAUGCGUUGUUGGGUAGGGGAGCGUUCUGUAAGCCUGCGAAGGUGUGCUGUGAGGCAUGCUGGAGGUAUCAGAAGUGCGAAUGCUGACAUAAGUAACGAUAAAGCGGGUGAAAAGCCCGCUCGCCGGAAGACCAAGGGUUCCUGUCCAACGUUAAUCGGGGCAGGGUGAGUCGACCCCUAAGGCGAGGCCGAAAGGCGUAGUCGAUGGGAAACAGGUUAAUAUUCCUGUACUUGGUGUUACUGCGAAGGGGGGACGGAGAAGGCUAUGUUGGCCGGGCGACGGUUGUCCCGGUUUAAGCGUGUAGGCUGGUUUUCCAGGCAAAUCCGGAAAAUCAAGGCUGAGGCGUGAUGACGAGGCACUACGGUGCUGAAGCAACAAAUGCCCUGCUUCCAGGAAAAGCCUCUAAGCAUCAGGUAACAUCAAAUCGUACCCCAAACCGACACAGGUGGUCAGGUAGAGAAUACCAAGGCGCUUGAGAGAACUCGGGUGAAGGAACUAGGCAAAAUGGUGCCGUAACUUCGGGAGAAGGCACGCUGAUAUGUAGGUGAAGUCCCUUGCGGAUGGAGCUGAAAUCAGUCGAAGAUACCAGCUGGCUGCAACUGUUUAUUAAAAACACAGCACUGUGCAAACACGAAAGUGGACGUAUACGGUGUGACGCCUGCCCGGGUGCCGGAAGGUUAAUUGAUGGGGUCAGCGCAAGCGAAGCUCUUGAUCGAAGCCCCGGUAAACGGCGGCCGUAACUAUAACGGUCCUAAGGUAGCGAAAUUCCUUGUCGGGUAAGUUCCGACCUGCACGAAUGGCGUAAUGAUGGCCAGGCUGUCUCCACCCGAGACUCAGUGAAAUUGAACUCGCUGUGAAGAUGCAGUGUACCCGCGGCAAGACGGAAAGACCCCGUGAACCUUUACUAUAGCUUGGACACUGAACAUUGAGCCUUGAUGUGUAGGAUAGGUGGGAGGCUUAGAAGUGUGGACGCCAGUCUGCAUGGAGCCGACCUUGAAAUACCACCCUUUAAUGUUUGAUGUUCUAACGUUGACCCGUAAUCCGGGUUGCGGACAGUGUCUGGUGGGUAGUUUGACUGGGGCGGUCUCCUCCUAAAGAGUAACGGAGGAGCACGAAGGUUGGCUAAUCCUGGUCGGACAUCAGGAGGUUAGUGCAAUGGCAUAAGCCAGCUUGACUGCGAGCGUGACGGCGCGAGCAGGUGCGAAAGCAGGUCAUAGUGAUCCGGUGGUUCUGAAUGGAAGGGCCAUCGCUCAACGGAUAAAAGGUACUCCGGGGAUAACAGGCUGAUACCGCCCAAGAGUUCAUAUCGACGGCGGUGUUUGGCACCUCGAUGUCGGCUCAUCACAUCCUGGGGCUGAAGUAGGUCCCAAGGGUAUGGCUGUUCGCCAUUUAAAGUGGUACGCGAGCUGGGUUUAGAACGUCGUGAGACAGUUCGGUCCCUAUCUGCCGUGGGCGCUGGAGAACUGAGGGGGGCUGCUCCUAGUACGAGAGGACCGGAGUGGACGCAUCACUGGUGUUCGGGUUGUCAUGCCAAUGGCACUGCCCGGUAGCUAAAUGCGGAAGAGAUAAGUGCUGAAAGCAUCUAAGCACGAAACUUGCCCCGAGAUGAGUUCUCCCUGACUCCUUGAGAGUCCUGAAGGAACGUUGAAGACGACGACGUUGAUAGGCCGGGUGUGUAAGCGCAGCGAUGCGUUGAGCUAACCGGUACUAAUGAACCGUGAGGCUUAACCUUACAACGCCGAAGGUGUUU